AGACCCGAAACCCGGUGAUCUAGCCAUGGGCAGGUUGAAGGUUGGGUAACACUAACUGGAGGACCGAACCGACUAAUGUUGAAAAAUUAGCGGAUGACCUGUGGCUGGGGGUGAAAGGCCAAUCAAACCGGGAGAUAGCUGGUUCUCCCCGAAAGCUAUUUAGGUAGCGCCUCGUGAAUUCAUCUCCGGGGGUAGAGCACUGUUUCGGCUAGGGGGCCAUCCCGGCUUACCAACCCGAUGCAAACUGCGAAUACCGGAGAAUGUUAUCACGGGAGACACACGGCGGGUGCUAACGUCCGUCGUGAAGAGGGAAACAACCCAGACCGCCAGCUAAGGUCCCAAAGUCAUGGUUAAGUGGGAAACGAUGUGGGAAGGCCCAGACAGCCAGGAUGUUGGCUUAGAAGCAGCCAUCAUUUAAAGAAAGCGUAAUAGCUCACUGGUCGAGUCGGCCUGCGCGGAAGAUGUAACGGGGCUAAACCAUGCACCGAAGCUGCGGCAGCGAACGUAUCACUUAAAGCGAUUCAGCGGGUUACGAUUGACGGAGCGAAGCGACGUCAAAGCGUAUACAAAGUCGAGUCGGUUUAAGGAUACGUUCGUUGGGUAGGGGAGCGUUCUGUAAGCCUGUGAAGGUGGCCUGUGAGGGU
Molecule: ribosomal RNA, 644 nt
Filed under: Salmonella enterica subsp. enterica serovar Dublin
Lineage: Bacteria; Pseudomonadati; Pseudomonadota; Gammaproteobacteria; Enterobacterales; Enterobacteriaceae
Description: partial 23S ribosomal RNA
Rfam family: Bacterial large subunit ribosomal RNA
Source: RNAcentral